UCCGGCUUGACGCCGGCAGUCCCCCGAGAGUCCUCAGCUUUACCUGUUAGUAACACGGGGCAAGGGUUGCGCUCGUUGCGGGACUUAACCCAACAUCUCACGACACGAGCUGACGACAGCCAUGCACCACCUGUGAUCCUGCCCAAAAGGGAAACCGUGUUUCCACGGCGGUCAGGAACAUGUCAAACCCAGGUAAGGUUCUUCGCGUUGCGUCGAAUUAAACCACAUGCUCCGCUGCUUGUGCGGGUCCCCGUCAAUUCCUUUGAGUUUUAGCCUUGCGGCCGUACUCCCCAGGCAGAGCACUUAAUGCGUUAGCUGCGGCACCGGAGGGGUCGUUCCCACCGGCAUCUAGUGCCCAUCGUUUACGGCGUGGACUAC
This 378-nucleotide unclassified non-coding RNA is filed under the name uncultured bacterium. RNAcentral's name for it is "contains 16S-23S intergenic spacer region". The record is from RNAcentral.